Molecule: transfer RNA, 88 nt
Filed under: Chloroflexota bacterium
Lineage: Bacteria; Bacillati; Chloroflexota
Description: Chloroflexi bacterium tRNA-Ser
Rfam family: tRNA
About the family: Transfer RNA (tRNA) molecules are approximately 80 nucleotides in length. Their secondary structure includes four short double-helical elements and three loops (D, anti-codon, and T loops). Further hydrogen bonds mediate the characteristic L-shaped molecular structure. tRNAs have two regions of fundamental functional importance: the anti-codon, which is responsible for specific mRNA codon recognition, and the 3' end, to which the tRNAs corresponding amino acid is attached (by aminoacyl-tRNA synthetases). tRNAs cope with the degeneracy of the genetic code in two manners: having more than one tRNA (with a specific anti-codon) for a particular amino acid; and 'wobble' base-pairing, i.e. permitting non-standard base-pairing at the 3rd anti-codon position.
Source: RNAcentral
CGAGAGGUCGCCUAGUCCGGCUUAGGGCGCAGACCUGGAAAGUCUGUGAGCGAAAGCUCCGUGGGUUCGAAUCCCACCCUCUCCGCAA